Molecule: long non-coding RNA, 1723 nt
Organism: Perca fluviatilis (European perch)
Lineage: Eukaryota; Metazoa; Chordata; Actinopteri; Perciformes; Percidae
Exons: 10
Source: RefSeq, a predicted model, not a curated record
CGUUAAAGAUUUGUGUUGUUGUUGCCCAGAAAAUGACAGAGAAAAGAAAAACAGACAUAAGAUCCUUUUUUCAGUAGGCCUACACCAAAACGCCAAGCAAAGGAGACAGAAAGAAGGAACAGGGAGACCAGGGACAGUCAGGUGGAGAGUCUCAGGUACACAUCAGUGUCUUUAAAAAAAAAUAACACACCGCAGUGCUGUACCGACCAUCAUUGUCCCCUUUGCCCCACUUCAAUAUACAAGCCCCGGUGUAGGCAAAAGGUUUUGCAGCACAUGGAGGUGCAUGUAAAGAAUGCCAUUCAACAUGAAGAUUUCUUCAUAACAAAAUGCCACAAGUCCUGCAGGAGUGGAAGCAGUGGUCACUUCCACUGCCCUUUCUGCCUCAAGACCACAAUAAAAAGGCAGGAUACACUGAGGCAUUUGCAGAUCUGUAGGCCGCCUCUCCAUGACGCCCAGUUGGACGCUGAUGCCGACUGCAGAGAGAUCGGCAUCACUUCCCAGACAGAGGAGUGCAAAGCAGGAUCUGUGAACCUACCUCAGCUCAGCACUGACAAACUGCCUGUAUCGUUACAUGAUAGUGAAAUACAAGGACAAAGAGACCCAGGAGAGAGACCCCAAGACCCACCGCCAGAAUCCUUCUUGCCUAUCAGUCCUAUCCUGGACAAUCCUCCCUGCAGAGUGAGCCGUGUAAAGUUGCCAAAUGUACUUUGUCCUCACUGUAAUGUGAAGUUCCAAAGAAAAAAUAUCAAGAAGCACAUUUACAGACAACACACCGAUAAAGCUGUCAGAGAUAUCACUGCAUAUUCCCAUGCUGUAUGCAUUGAUGAGAAGAAUGGGAUAUAUGCUGUGAAAAAAGUCGUUUCUUGGACCUUUUGUGCCUCUUCAUGUCCAAAAGAAAAACCUGGGGGAAAGAGCACAAAAUCAAGUGUGAGUCCAGGGAGUGCCAACAGGCCAGUGACUUUGCUGUCAGGAGUGGCUUGAAGACAUUUCAAUGCCAUCAUGUCUGCUCUCUUGACUACUGUUCAGCUAAUGCCACUGAUACUGUACUGAGUGAAGAAAUUCUGACUGAUAUGGCGGAAAACAAGUGGUUUGGAGAAAAACAGGAAACAGCAGUGUCUCCAGCUCCAGUCACAGGCAGCUACUGCCAGUGUGCCAGUCUCCUGCCUUGAAAUCAGAGCUGAAAUGGUACAUAUCAGUCUAUGAACCGAAUGUAAGCUAUUACAGCCGACUGGGACGAGUCGGCUGUAAUGGGAGGCAAAGAGGCCCAGGACAAUCCCCCCUGAACAGUCGGAACCUGUUGACCUGACCAAGGAAAUGGGGAUUUUGGAGAUUACAAGAUCUUUUCUCGAAGACAUAUUGCUUGAGGUGGUCCUCCAGGAUGGUGAUAAGGCACUGAUGACCUUGGCCCUAGUCUGUUCAGAGUCAUACUCAAGGAUGAAAACUUCCGGGAAAGAGCUCACUUUCUGUGGUUUGACACUAAGUAAAAAUGUGUGACUAAUUGGAGAAGGUUCUCCUCCAAAUACAAAAAAGAAUUCGGCACUGAGAUGUACUCAGUGAUGAACUGCUCUCAGUGCUAUUGUCCAUACAAGAGCUGCAUGUUGGGUUACGUUGGAAGAGGAAGGCGGGUGAGCUGCGGGGGAUAUAUUCUGAAGAUCCCCACCCAGGAUUCUGCAGCCAUUUCUGCCAACUAACAGCAGGAUUUCCUGAAGAGGGAUAACAAGGA